RNAcentral lists this ribosomal RNA (253 nucleotides) under uncultured bacterium. RNAcentral's name for it is "partial 16S ribosomal RNA". It matches the Rfam family "Bacterial small subunit ribosomal RNA", at positions 524 to 776 of the family's 1533-position model. The record is from RNAcentral.
UACGUAGGGGCCGAGCGUUGUCCGGAGUUAUUGGGCGUAAAGCGCGCGCAGGCGGCCUCGCGCGCCCGACGUGAAAGCCCCCGGCUUAACCGGGGAGGGUCGUUGGGGACGGCGGGGCUUGAGGGCGGGAGAGGGUGGUGGAAUUCCCGGUGUAGUGGUGAAAUGCGUAGAGAUGUGGAGGAACACCGAUGGCGAAGGCAGCCCCCUGGGUUAACACUGACGCUCAGGCACGAAAGCGUGGGGAGCAAACAGG